CGUGCCCUGCGGAAUAGCUCCGGGAAACUGGAAUUAAUACCGCAUACGCCCUACGGGGGAAAGAUUUAUCGGGGUAUGAUGAGCCCGCGUUGGAUUAGCUAGUUGGUGGGGUAAAGGCCUACCAAGGCGACGAUCCAUAGCUGGUCUGAGAGGAUGAUCAGCCACAUUGGGACUGAGACACGGCCCAAACUCCUACGGGAGGCAGCAGUGGGGAAUAUUGGACAAUGGGCGCAAGCCUGAUCCAGCCAUGCCGCGUGAGUGAUGAAGGCCUUAGGGUUGUAAAGCUCCUUCACCGGUGAAGAUAAUGACGGUAACCGGAGAAGAAGCCCCGGCUAACUUCGUGCCAGCAGCCGCGGUAAUACGAAGGGGGCUAGCGUUGUUCGGAAUUACUGGGCGUAAAGCGCACGUAGGCGGAUAUUUAAGUCAGGGGUGAAAUCCCAGAGCUCAACUCUGGAACUGCCUUUGAUACUGGGUAUCUUGAGUAUGGAAGAGGUAAGUGGAAUUGCGAGU
RNAcentral lists this ribosomal RNA (510 nucleotides) under uncultured bacterium. RNAcentral describes it as "bacterial SSU rRNA". It matches the Rfam family "Bacterial small subunit ribosomal RNA", at positions 130 to 674 of the family's 1533-position model. The record is from RNAcentral.